This 253-nucleotide ribosomal RNA is filed under the name uncultured bacterium. RNAcentral describes it as "partial 16S ribosomal RNA". It matches the Rfam family "Bacterial small subunit ribosomal RNA", at positions 524 to 776 of the family's 1533-position model. The record is from RNAcentral.
UACGUAGGUGGCGAGCGUUGUCCGGAUUUAUUGGGCGUAAAGCGCGCGCAGGCGGUUCGUUCAGUCCGUUGUGAAAGCUCCCGGCUCAACUGGGAGAGGUCUUCGGAUACUGGCGGACUCGAGGGAGGCAGAGGAAGGUGGAAUUCCCGGUGUAGUGGUGAAAUGCGUAGAGAUCGGGAGGAACAUCUGUGGCGAAGGCGACUGCCUGGACCAGCACUGACACUGAGGCACGAAAGCGUGGGGAGCAAACAGG